GACGAACGCUGGCGGCGUGCUUAACACAUGCAAGUCGAGCGGUAAGGCCCUUUCGGGGGUACGACGAGCGGCGAACGGGUGAGUAACACGUGGGUGACCUGCCCUUAGCUCUGGGAUAAGCCUGGGAAACUGGGUCUAAUACCGGAUAUGACUCCAUGACGCAUGUUGUGGGGUGGAAAGCCUUGUGCGGCUAGGGAUGGGCCCGCGGCCUAUCAGCUUGUUGGUGGGGUGAUGGCCUACCAAGGCGACGACGGGUAGCCGGCCUGAGAGGGCGACCGGCCACACUGGGACUGAGACACGGCCCAGACUCCUACGGGAGGCAGCAGUGGGGAAUCUUGCGCAAUGGGCGAAAGCCUGACGCAGCGACGCCGCGUGAGGGAUGACGGCCUGG
Molecule: ribosomal RNA, 391 nt
Filed under: uncultured bacterium
Lineage: Bacteria
Description: bacterial SSU rRNA
Rfam family: Bacterial small subunit ribosomal RNA
Source: RNAcentral